This 1021-nucleotide long non-coding RNA is filed under the name Gossypium barbadense (sea-island cotton). RNAcentral's name for it is "long non-coding RNA (GBAR_LNC008082)". The record is from RNAcentral. Lineage: Eukaryota; Viridiplantae; Streptophyta; Magnoliopsida; Malvales; Malvaceae.
UUGAUCCUUCGCGCGUACAUCAACUCGAACUCCAGACCUCCUCCUGUCCCUGCGCUCUACAUCCUGCUGCUGACCACUGCACCAAUCUUUCCUUUAUACCAUAAUAGGGUCACAACUAAUCUUAAUCUAUUCCUGCUGAAGCCUCGGUUACUUGCGAAAUAAAAAGGAAAUUUCGCCUGCUAUACAUCUCGAACCUGCAACAUCCUAAACAUACACAUACGCUACUUGCCACUGCACCGAAGUUCCUUUCAUGACAUAAUCUUCUCACAAUUAAUUUUAAGGCUUAACUGCUGCAGUCACGGCUACUUAAAAAUAAAUCAAAAUUUUGCCUUCCCCUGGAAUCGAGCCCACAUCCUCUCGGCAUGCCUAGCACGCUGCUGCCACUACGCCACAGGCGCUCCUUGUGGCAUACUCCGUUCGCGAAUUCCUUUAAAGCCUAUUUUAGUGCAACCCGUUUACUAAAAAAAUAAACGUCUCACGCACCCUGUGCCUCGAACUAGGGUCCCUUUCAGCCUUCUAACGUCCCUUGCCAUUGGGCUGAGUUCCUUAUUGUGACAUGAGUUAGCCCCAACAACUCUUAAGGCCUGCCUGCGAUAGCCCUUGACUUAAAAACAUGUUUGCUCACGCUAGAAAUCGAACCCCAGCCUUCCUUCCUGCUGCCUAGGAGACUAACCACUGGGCCAGGCGUUCCUUUAUGCCCAGCUUCUGCCCAACUUAUUUUUGAGGCCUUAUGCCCAGAUUUCCUUAAGAGGCAAAAUUUAAGAAUGUUGCUAAAGCUAUGGGUCGAGCCCUGAACUUUUUCCCACACCAUAAACCCUUCGUAAUUUAUUUUCUUACUAACUAAACAUACUAAAUAUUAAUAAUAAAAAUUAAAACAUCCAAAUUAUUCGGGCCGUCUUCUACCCGAACCUAGACUCAAGGCCCAAUAUUUUUAGGCCCGAAAAUCGGGGCGUUACAUAACAUGUUUAUUUCAUCAUGCUUUGAACAACAAUAAACAACCAUUGUCCUAUUAAGAUACAGG